RNAcentral lists this transfer RNA (83 nucleotides) under Desmophyllum pertusum. Its description in RNAcentral is "tRNA-Ser". The stretch from base 12 to 83 matches the Rfam family "tRNA". Rfam says of the family: Transfer RNA (tRNA) molecules are approximately 80 nucleotides in length. Their secondary structure includes four short double-helical elements and three loops (D, anti-codon, and T loops). The record is from RNAcentral. Lineage: Eukaryota; Metazoa; Cnidaria; Anthozoa; Scleractinia; Caryophylliidae.
UCUCCCACGAGUGUCCUGUAGCUCAGUGGUAGAGCAUCCGACCGCUGUGCGGAAGAUCAUAGGUUCGACUCCUGUUGGGAGAA